CAGCAGCCACGGGAAUACGUAGGUGGCAAGCGUUGUCCGGAAUUAUUGGGCGUAAAGCGCGCGCAGGCGGAUCAGUCAGUCUGUCUUAAAAGUUCGGGGCUUAACCCCGUGAGGGGAUGGAAACUGCUGAUCUAGAGUAUCGGAGAGGAAAGUGGAAUUCCUAGUGUAGCGGUGAAAUGCGUAGAUAUUAGGAAGAACACCAGUGGCGAAGGCGACUUUCUGGACGAAAACUGACGCUGAGGCGCGAAAGCCAGGGGAGCGAACGGGAUUAGAGACCCCCGUAGUCCCGUCUCUUAUACAC
This 301-nucleotide ribosomal RNA is filed under the name uncultured bacterium. RNAcentral's name for it is "partial 16S ribosomal RNA". It matches the Rfam family "Bacterial small subunit ribosomal RNA", at positions 509 to 810 of the family's 1533-position model. The record is from RNAcentral.